RNAcentral lists this ribosomal RNA (805 nucleotides) under Vittaforma corneae. Its description in RNAcentral is "SSU rRNA". It matches the Rfam family "Microsporidia small subunit ribosomal RNA", at positions 76 to 915 of the family's 1311-position model. The record is from RNAcentral. Lineage: Eukaryota; Fungi; Microsporidia; Nosematidae.
GGGACGAAUAGCUCAGUAAAACUGCGAUGAUUUAGUCUGGCUGUGUAGAUAACUACGUGAAAAUGUAGCUAAGGGAAGGCAGAAUAAGACGCAGGACUAUCAGUUAGUUGGUAGUGUAAUGGACUACCAAGACAGUGACGGUUGACGGGAAAUUAGGGUUUUGUACCGGAGAGGGAGCCUGAGAGAUUGCUCCCACGUCCAAGGACGGCAGCAGGCGCGAAAAUUGCCCACUCUUUGCAGGAGGCAGUUAUGAGACGUGAAGAUGAGUAUCUUGUAAAGAGGGAUAGGAGAAUUGGAGGGCAAGUUUGGUGCCAGCAGCCGCGGUAAUACCGACUCCAAGAGUGUGUAUGAGAGAUGCUGCAGUUAAAAAGUCCGUAGUCAUAGAAGGGCAAAGAGAGAUGCGAGGUCUCACAGUGCGAUGAUGGAGGAGCCGAUGGGGAACAUAGUAUACCAGGGCGAGAGAUGAAAUGCCAAGACCCCUGGUGGACUGAGCGAGGCGAAGGCGAUGUUCUUGUAGGCAUUCGGUGAUCAAGGACGAAGGCUGGAGUAUCGAAAGUGAUUAGAUACCGCAGUAGUUCCAGCAGUAAAAGAUGCCGACAUGCUCAUUGGACACAGUGGGCAGGGAGAAAUCUUAGAGUUCGGGCUCUGGGGAUAGUAUGCUCGCAAGGGUGAAAAUUAAAGAAAUUGACGGAGCUACACCACAAGGAGUGGAUUGUGCGGCUUAAUUUGACUCAACGCGAGGAAACUUACCAGGGCCAAGUAUUGUGUAGAAACGAGCAAUACAGGAGUGGUGCAUGGUCGUUGG